AACGAACGCUGGCGGCAUGCCUAACACAUGCAAGUCGAACGAAGUCUUCGGACUUAGUGGCGCACGGGUGCGUAACGCGUGGGAAUCUGCCCUUGGGUGCGGAAUAACUUCUCGAAAGGGAUGCUAAUACCGCAUAAUGUCGUAAGACCAAAGAUUUAUCGCCCAAGGAUGAGCCCGCGUAAGAUUAGCUAGUUGGUGGGGUAAAAGCCUACCAAGGCGACGAUCUUUAGCUGGUCUGAGAGGAUGAUCAGCCACACUGGGACUGAGACACGGCCCAGACUCCUACGGGAGGCAGCAGUGGGGAAUAUUGGACAAUGGGCGAAAGCCUGAUCCAGCAAUGCCGCGUGAGUGAUGAAGGCCCUAGGGUUGUAAAGACUCUUUUACCUAGGGGAUGAUAAUGACAGUACCUGGAGGAAUAAGACUCCGGCUAACU
RNAcentral lists this ribosomal RNA (433 nucleotides) under uncultured bacterium. RNAcentral's name for it is "bacterial SSU rRNA". It matches the Rfam family "Bacterial small subunit ribosomal RNA", at positions 29 to 502 of the family's 1533-position model. The record is from RNAcentral.